This 110-nucleotide ribosomal RNA is filed under the name Syntrophobacterales bacterium. Lineage: Bacteria; Pseudomonadati; Thermodesulfobacteriota; Syntrophobacteria; Syntrophobacterales. The record is from RNAcentral.
GGCCAUGGCGGAGGUGACACACCCGGACCCAUGCCGAACCCGGCAGUUAAGCCCUCCAGCGCCGAUGGUACUGCCUCUUCGAGGGGUGGGAGAGUAGGACGCCGCCGGAA